CAGGGGGAGACGACGUCGUUUGGGGCGGAGAAGAGAAGAGAAGAGAAGAGGAGAAAUGCAACAGAGUUGGUUCUGGGGAUGGUUUUUCAUCGGAUCGGGGUCUCUCUUCUUUGUGGGGUUUCUCUACGCUACCAUCUUCUCCAAGCUUCUUCCCCCAUCCGAUAAUACCAUCAUCUCUGCCAUCCAAAACGAUCGGUAUUAUUGCUUCUUGGUGCCACUGACUCUCCCAGUCCUUUUGGUUGCCGUGUAUUUUCAUUGGCUCAGCAUGAAGAUGUUCAAACAUGCCUGAUUUUUUGUCAAGCCCAACAGGAAGGAAAUAGCUCCAUUUAAGAUCAUGAGUUCUUAUUGUCAAAUGCUGCAAACACAAAAAAUGCAAGAUGUAGCAGUUUUUAACAAGCAAAUCUUCUCAAGUUCUGCUAAAGGAAGGGAAGAAGGAGAAAGCAGUUGCUGCUAAAGAGACGAGGAAUGAGAUAGAGUAGGUCUGAGAGAGUUUGGAGGGAAAAAAAAAAGGCUGAAAAAUCAGAUCCUCUCAACUGCUCUGAAAUUUUAUAUUGGUUACACCUGAUGUAUUUGAGUUGCUGUAAUGAUUUCGCCAAUUGAUAUUAGUUAGUAGUUGACUGUUACAUGAGUUACAUACGUAUUUCAAAUUUUUGUACUCGGGUAGUUGUUGUAUAUCUAUGCAAUCAGGGCUUAGCUGGACUUAUGAUGUCAAUUUUGUUUGAUAAUUUUUGGUGAUAACAUAAUCUAUUCCCGUUGGCA
Molecule: long non-coding RNA, 759 nt
Organism: Rosa rugosa (rugosa rose)
Lineage: Eukaryota; Viridiplantae; Streptophyta; Magnoliopsida; Rosales; Rosaceae
Exons: 4
Source: RefSeq, a predicted model, not a curated record